This 422-nucleotide ribosomal RNA is filed under the name Phricothelphusa limula. RNAcentral's name for it is "partial 16S ribosomal RNA". The stretch from base 297 to 422 matches the Rfam family "Bacterial large subunit ribosomal RNA", at positions 2473 to 2599 of the family's 2925-position model. The record is from RNAcentral. Lineage: Eukaryota; Metazoa; Arthropoda; Malacostraca; Decapoda; Parathelphusidae.
UUUUUAAAUGGGAUCUUGUAUGAAUGGUUAGACAAAAGAAAAACUGUCUUUAUAGUAAGUUUGAAUUUAACUUUUAAGUGAGAAGGCUUAAAUAAUCUAAUGGGACGAGAAGACCCUAUAAAGCUUUAUAUUGAAAUUAUUUUUAAUUAAAUUUGAAGAAUAAUAAUUUAAUAUAAUUACAAUAUUAUGUUGGGGAGACAGAGGUAAAAUUUAUAGUAACUGCUUAUUAGUAAAACAAAUAUAGUUGGUUUAAUGAAGAUCUUAUUAUGUGGAUUUAAAGAUUAAGUUACUUUAGGGAUAACAGUGUUAUUUUUUUUGAGAGUUCAUAUCGAAAAAAGAGUUUGCAACCUCGAUGUUGAAUUAAAGUAUCUAUAUAGUGCAGAAGUUAUAUAUGAAGGUCUGUUCGACCUUUAAAAUUUUAC